RNAcentral lists this ribosomal RNA (514 nucleotides) under uncultured bacterium. Its description in RNAcentral is "partial 16S ribosomal RNA". It matches the Rfam family "Bacterial small subunit ribosomal RNA", at positions 28 to 523 of the family's 1533-position model. The record is from RNAcentral.
GAUGAACGCUGGCGGCGUGCCUAAUACAUGCAAGUCGAGCGAACAGAUGAGAAGCUUGCUUCUCUGAUGUUAGCGGCGGACGGGUGAGUAACACGUGGGUAACCUACCUAUAAGACUGGGAUAACUCCGGGAAACCGGGGCUAAUACCGGAUAAUAUUUUGAACCGCAUGGUUCAAUAGUGAAAGACGGUUUCGGCUGUCACUUAUAGAUGGACCCGCGCCGUAUUAGCUAGUUGGUAAGGUAACGGCUUACCAAGGCGACGAUACGUAGCCGACCUGAAGGGGUGAUCGGCCACACUGGAACUGAGACACGGUCCAGACUCCUACGGGAGGCAGCAGUAGGGAAUCUUCCGCAAUGGGCGAAAGCCUGACGGAGCAACGCCGCGUGAGUGAUGAAGGUCUUCGGAUCGUAAAACUCUGUUGUUAGGGAAGAACAAAUUUGUUAGUAACUGAACAAGUCUUGACGGUACCUAACCAGAAAGCCACGGCUAACUACGUGCCAGCCGCCGCGGUAA